UUAAUGGAGAGUUUGAUCCUGGCUCAGGACGAACGCUGGCGGCGUGCCUAAUACAUGCAAGUCGAGCGGAUCGUUCCUUCGGGGACGGUUAGCGGCGGACGGGUGAGUAACACGUAGGCAACCUGCCUGUAAGAUCGGGAUAACUACCGGAAACGGUAGCUAAGACCGGAUGAGUGGUUUUCUCGCAUGAGGAGAUCAAGAAACACGGGGCAA
RNAcentral lists this ribosomal RNA (213 nucleotides) under Paenibacillus thalictri. Its description in RNAcentral is "Bacterial small subunit ribosomal RNA". It matches the Rfam family "Bacterial small subunit ribosomal RNA", at positions 1 to 213 of the family's 1533-position model. The record is from Rfam by way of RNAcentral. Lineage: Bacteria; Bacillati; Bacillota; Bacilli; Caryophanales; Paenibacillaceae.